AUGUCUCUUGCUCUUAGUUAGCGAUGUCCAUCUCUACCCCACACUUACAUGGUGGGAACGUUCUGUGAAGAUGUGGGUUAUGGAUCAAGUUCUCCAGGGGCUUCUAUGCUGUCUUAGACGCGAGACCUGUAAUUCAGAGCGAAAGCACGCAGCAAAUGAAGUCUGACAUCUAUGAAACUUCCCAGACACGUAAUUCAGAGUAUGAGGUGUGAAUUUCACUACAGCAAAAUGAAGCACAAGACAAAGGAGUCCUUAAGAACCUCAGAUGAUGCCACUGGAGCCGAUUUCAAUAUUUACCCCUGACUGGAGUCUGAACUUUUCAGGCUGCUGUACUAUAAAACGUUUGCUAUCCUGGGAGGCCCAUGGCCCACCACCAUGGGGCAGCGAACUUGAGCAAGUUUGAUGAGGUGAAGCCUGCGGAAAGGCAAGCAUCUGAGUUUGGACCCAGAAGACCAUGGAAAAUAGAAUCAGU
RNAcentral lists this long non-coding RNA (472 nucleotides) under Equus caballus (horse). RNAcentral describes it as "lncRNA (ENSECAG00000035114.3)". The record is from RNAcentral. Lineage: Eukaryota; Metazoa; Chordata; Mammalia; Perissodactyla; Equidae.